GUAUAAAGGCAUCCGUCCUUUCCCUGUCCUAACUGCUCAGCAAACUUUAGGAGCAGUCUUUAAAAUAACAAAUAAUCUUGAGAAACAAGAAGCACCAUUUGAAGCAGUGCAAGGAAGUACAUUAAGUUUUCCCACCACAGGGCGACAACAGUUUUAAAAAUGUCUAAUAGGACGGCACAACGCUGAAGGCGUGAGCCCCAAACCAAACAGCUGAAGGCGUACAGAGUCACCAGUACUGACCCUGCUUUACAGAAGUUCCCAUUGCAAAACUUCCCUGGAAUUAUGUGAGCACUGAUUUAUGUGAGGUGGUUAGAACAUACUGCUUCCAUACAACGGGAAUUUGCCAGACGGGAGAAAACAAUGAAGCAUGAAGUGACAGGAGUAAAUAAAACACAGACCACAGAGCCUGUUCCACUGUCAGGAGUGGACGGCGACUCCACCCCAGAGCUUCCCAGCGGUAAACACGAGGAAGAAAGCUCAAUUACUACAGGAUUUGCGGGUUCAUGAGUCCAAAAUGACUAGUUGUUUCAGAAAGGCACAACCUUUUCUGGGAGAGAGACCAGAGAGAAACACUCCCGAGUCUCACAAGGAAGGCUUGACCUAUUUUCACGAGCAGCAACCUGUGAACUGUCUUAUUAACAAAGAUACAACUUUUACAAGGAAAAUUCAUCAAGCUCGACUUCGGAAAUACCCAUUUCAGAAAGAAAACAUUUGUCAUGAAGCAACCACGGGACAUCUAAAUUACCCACUUAAUUGAGAAAUAUUUCCCAGAUGCUGACAAGGUAUCUUUGGUGGAAAAUAUAUACUUAUCUCCAUGUGUACCUUAAUAAAUUGUCAGUUUAAGUCAGUAAA
Suricata suricatta (meerkat) is the source of this 852-nucleotide long non-coding RNA. RefSeq lists it as uncharacterized. NCBI's taxonomy places the organism in Eukaryota, Metazoa, Chordata, Mammalia, Carnivora, Herpestidae. The transcript is spliced from 2 exons. The record is from RefSeq and is a predicted model, not a curated record.